This 21-nucleotide unclassified non-coding RNA is filed under the name Dictyostelium discoideum. Lineage: Eukaryota; Evosea; Eumycetozoa; Dictyosteliales; Dictyosteliaceae. The record is from RNAcentral.
GAUCGUAAUCCGGGACAUCAA